CUACGGAGGGUGCAAGCGUUGUUCGGAAUCACUGGGCGUAAAGGGCGCGCAGGCGGUUUGGUAAGUCAGAUGUGAAAGCCCACGGCUCAACCGUGGAAGUGCAUUGAAACUGUCAGACUUGAGUACUAGAGGGGAAAGUGGAAUUCCCGGUGUAGAGGUGAAAUUCGUAGAUAUCCGGAGGAAUACCGGUGGCGAAGGCGACUUUCUGGCUAGAUACUGACGCUGAGGCGCGAAAGCAUGGGGAGCAAACAGGAUUAGAUACCCCAGUAGUCC
This 273-nucleotide ribosomal RNA is filed under the name uncultured bacterium. Its description in RNAcentral is "partial 16S ribosomal RNA". It matches the Rfam family "Bacterial small subunit ribosomal RNA", at positions 523 to 796 of the family's 1533-position model. The record is from RNAcentral.